AUAUGAAGUAGCAGAGGAGGUUGCUGAAUGGAGGAAUAUGAAGUAGCAGAGGAGGUUGAUGAAUGGUGGAAUAUGAAGUAGCAGAGGAGGUUGGUGAAUGAAGGAAAAUGAAGUAGCAGAGGAGGUUGAUGAAUGAAGGAAUAUGAAGUAGCAGAGGAGGUUGAUGAAUGAAGGAAUAUGAAGUAGCAGAGGAGGUUGAUGAAUGAAGGAAUAUGAAGUAGCAGAGGAGGUUGAUGAAUGAAGGAAUAUGAAGUAGCAGAGGAGGUUGAUGAAUGAAGGAAUAUGAAGUAGUUUCCGGGGAACUAGAAUGGCAGCAGAACUGGGUCCAGUCAGAGUCCAGUAGCACCAGAACCAGAAUACACAGGUCCCUUCAGAGCCAGGGGAGAGUCCAUUGCCCAGAGGGCAGCGAUGCCAGUUCCUGCAAUGUCAGGACACCCUGGGACCCCCAGACUGGCAGAGCUGGGGUAAACGGGCCCGGACCUGUCCAAGCACGGCCCCCGAGCGACCACUCCCCCUGCCGGCCCACCUCAGGUGCUCAGGCUGUCCCUCGCCAGGAGAGGCUCAUUGAAAGCCAGUACGAUAGGAAGCUGACCCGCAGCAUCUCCCCCACUGUCUCCAGUAUCCGCUGCCCGCACCCAUCCGCCCGGCGCCUUACUCCUUAUUGCCAGAGGGAAGGAAGCUCGCCUGCCGUAGCCGCUCCACGCUGCUAUUGGAC
Molecule: non-coding RNA, 715 nt
Organism: Pelobates cultripes (western spadefoot toad)
Lineage: Eukaryota; Metazoa; Chordata; Amphibia; Anura; Pelobatidae
Source: the annotation of a GenBank genome assembly